This 535-nucleotide long non-coding RNA is filed under the name Cyanistes caeruleus (blue tit). RNAcentral's name for it is "lncRNA (ENSCCEG00000023746.1)". The record is from RNAcentral. Lineage: Eukaryota; Metazoa; Chordata; Aves; Passeriformes; Paridae.
UGGUGGGAUCAGAGCUGGCCAUGAUAUCCCAGCUGUCAUCACCCUCCAGUGAGGAGGGAAACGAGGGAGAAGCAGCCGCCCGUGGCACAAGUGCAGGAGAGACUUGAUGGUCCAUUUGUCUCCACGGACUCCAGCUGAGCAAAAGCCUGGAGGUCCUUGGCAGCUGAGCUAGGGGCUGUACGCACGUAAUAAGACAAGUGGUCUUCUCUGCAGUUCAAGAAGAGAGAAACAAGAGCUGGAAACCAAGAAGCAUUGUAUAAAGCACAGUAUGUGCUUGAUGAAGAGCAAUGGCCUGGAAUAAAAAGUUGUUUGCAGAUUGGGAUGUGCCACUCUGAAGAGAAAGGGAGGCAGGAGGAUGUACUUCUGUUCAACAGCCCAUCCUUUAGUCGAAUGCAGGAAGAGCACAGCGCCUCCAAAACGGCUGAGCGUUGCUGUACACAGAGCAUGUGUUGGGAGAGCAGAGCAUCAGCUGGCCCUAAGUACAUCAGCUGGAAUUAGGUGGCUGUGGAGUGAGUAAGAUUGAAAUUCAGAGGCA